GAAAAAUCCACCCACCAAAAAAAUCUCCCCUAAUCCUUGCCCUUUCUCCUUCAGAUGGAUUCCUUCAAUACCUCUUUAACCCCAAAUGUCCACCGCCACCACCGCUACUCCUCCCUCCACUUACCUCACCAAUCUCGGUCUUGGCUACUCAAUAGCCAUAGCCCUUGGUUUCCUCGUCCUCUUAUCCACUAUCCUCCUUGCCUUCUACGUCUGCUGUCGCAACUCUCGCAACCGCUCCCGCAAUAUAAACAAUAACGACAACGACAACCCAAAUUUUCCCUCCGAUGGCAUAAUUCUCCCUCGCAUUAUCUU
RNAcentral lists this unclassified non-coding RNA (312 nucleotides) under Hevea brasiliensis (rubber tree). Lineage: Eukaryota; Viridiplantae; Streptophyta; Magnoliopsida; Malpighiales; Euphorbiaceae. The record is from RNAcentral.